GGAGAAGCGUCCUAGUUAGCGGAAGUAGCUCGAGAAGCUUCCUAUUCAGUAGUAUAUAUAGGAGUCGAGGCUGAAGGGUUCUUCAGUCUCGACAACACAUCUCUUGGAGUUCUAGCUCACCUUUCUGGUGUUGUUCUUGUACUCAUCUGUUUAAUCUAGUUUUGCCACUUCUUCUUGAACUUCUUCUUAGAUUUCAAGUCUCUAUUUUGUGUCCGUGACAGUUUGUCGAGACUACAUUUUCACUGGUAUCAGAGCUAGUUCCUUCUUGUUAGAGAGUGGAUUACCCCUCUUCUUGAAGGUGUGCUAGUGUUUUAGAGGUUGCGGAU
This 326-nucleotide long non-coding RNA is filed under the name Physcomitrium patens. Its description in RNAcentral is "long non-coding RNA (PPAT_LNC007850)". Lineage: Eukaryota; Viridiplantae; Streptophyta; Bryopsida; Funariales; Funariaceae. The record is from RNAcentral.